CAGGAGAGCCCUGCCCAUGUCCCAGCCAGGGCUGGAGGAGCAGGGAAUGCAUUCCAGGGAAUUCUGCCUUGCAGGGAUUGCUCUGUGCCAGUACCAGAGUGACCCCAGGGCUCGGCUUACAGAAGGGACAAGACAAUGACUGUAAAAAGAAAAUUUGGCAUUAAUAUCAGUGAAGAAAAGGGUUAUGUUCAGUAUUAAAUUCCUUCGCAGAUA
Cyanistes caeruleus (blue tit) is the source of this 213-nucleotide long non-coding RNA. RefSeq lists it as uncharacterized. The record is from RefSeq and is a predicted model, not a curated record. Lineage: Eukaryota; Metazoa; Chordata; Aves; Passeriformes; Paridae.